This 67-nucleotide transfer RNA is filed under the name Ia io (Great evening bat). Its description in RNAcentral is "tRNA-His". It matches the Rfam family "tRNA". From Rfam's summary of the family: Transfer RNA (tRNA) molecules are approximately 80 nucleotides in length. Their secondary structure includes four short double-helical elements and three loops (D, anti-codon, and T loops). The record is from RNAcentral. Lineage: Eukaryota; Metazoa; Chordata; Mammalia; Chiroptera; Vespertilionidae.
GUAAAUAUAGUUUAACAAAAACUUUAGAUUGUGAAUCUAACAAUAGGAGACAAUAUCCUUAUUUACC